AGUGAACGCUGGCGGUAGGCCUAACACAUGCAAGUCGAACGGCAGCACAGUAAGAGCUUGCUCUUACGGGUGGCGAGUGGCGGACGGGUGAGGAAUACAUCGGAAUCUACUUUUUCGUGGGGGAUAACGUAGGGAAACUUACGCUAAUACCGCAUACGACCUACGGGUGAAAGCAGGGGAUCUUCGGACCUUGCGCGAUUGAAUGAGCCGAUGUCGGAUUAGCUAGUUGGCGGGGUAAAGGCCCACCAAGGCGACGAUCCGUAGCUGGUCUGAGAGGAUGAUCAGCGACACUGGAACGGAGACACGGUCCAGACUCCUACGGGAGGCAGCAGUGGGGAAUAUUGGACAAUGGGAGCAAGCCUGAUCCAGCCAUACCGCGUGGGUGAAGAAGGCCUUCGGGUUGUAAAGCUCUUUUGUUGGGAAAGAAAAGCAGCAGGUUAAUACCCCGCUGUUCUGACGGUACCAAAAGAAUAAGCACCGGCUAACUUCGUG
This 492-nucleotide ribosomal RNA is filed under the name uncultured bacterium. Its description in RNAcentral is "partial 16S ribosomal RNA". It matches the Rfam family "Bacterial small subunit ribosomal RNA", at positions 29 to 507 of the family's 1533-position model. The record is from RNAcentral.